This 71-nucleotide transfer RNA is filed under the name Planctomycetota bacterium. RNAcentral's name for it is "Planctomycetes bacterium (mine drainage metagenome) tRNA-Gln". It matches the Rfam family "tRNA". Rfam says of the family: Transfer RNA (tRNA) molecules are approximately 80 nucleotides in length. Their secondary structure includes four short double-helical elements and three loops (D, anti-codon, and T loops). Further hydrogen bonds mediate the characteristic L-shaped molecular structure. tRNAs have two regions of fundamental functional importance: the anti-codon, which is responsible for specific mRNA codon recognition, and the 3' end, to which the tRNAs corresponding amino acid is attached (by aminoacyl-tRNA synthetases). tRNAs cope with the degeneracy of the genetic code in two manners: having more than one tRNA (with a specific anti-codon) for a particular amino acid; and 'wobble' base-pairing, i.e. permitting non-standard base-pairing at the 3rd anti-codon position. The record is from RNAcentral. Lineage: Bacteria; Pseudomonadati; Planctomycetota.
UGGGGAUUAGUGUAACGGUAGCACAACUGAUUCUGGCUCAGUUAGUAAAGGUUCAAAUCCUUUAUCCCCAG